Molecule: ribosomal RNA, 549 nt
Filed under: uncultured bacterium
Lineage: Bacteria
Description: bacterial SSU rRNA
Rfam family: Bacterial small subunit ribosomal RNA
Source: RNAcentral
UAGGGAAUCUUCGGCAAUGGACGGAAGUCUGACCGAGCAACGCCGCGUGAGUGAAGAAGGUUUUCGGAUCGUAAAGCUCUGUUGUAAGAGAAGAACGAGUAUGAGAGUGGAAAGUUCAUACUGUGACGGUAUCUUACCAGAAAGGGACGGCUAACUACGUGCCAGCAGCCGCGGUAAUACGUAGGUCCCGAGCGUUGUCCGGAUUUAUUGGGCGUAAAGCGAGCGCAGGCGGUUAGAUAAGUCUGAAGUUAAAGGCUGUGGCUUAACCAUAGUACGCUUUGGAAACUGUUUAACUUGAGUGCAAGAGGGGAGAGUGGAAUUCCAUGUGUAGCGGUGAAAUGCGUAGAUAUAUGGAGGAACACCGGUGGCGAAAGCGGCUCUCUGGCUUGUAACUGACGCUGAGGCUCGAAAGCGUGGGGAGCAAACAGGAUUAGAUACCCUGGUAGUCCACGCCGUAAACGAUGAGUGCUAGGUGUUAGACCCUUUCCGGGGUUUAGUGCCGUAGCUAACGCAUUAAGCACUCCGCCUGGGGAGUACGACCGCAAGGUU